RNAcentral lists this long non-coding RNA (4128 nucleotides) under Mus musculus (house mouse). RNAcentral describes it as "long non-coding RNA chr12:61539087-61543215". Lineage: Eukaryota; Metazoa; Chordata; Mammalia; Rodentia; Muridae. The record is from RNAcentral.
AUGGGGGCCUCUCUUGCAGUUUCAGAGGUUUAGUUCAACAUCAUCUUGGCAGGAAGCAUGGUGGCACACAGGCAAACAUGGUGGUGGAGAAGGAGCAGAGAGUUCUAUAUCUGAAUCCAAAAGCAGCAGGAAGAAAUAGAGCCAAAAUCCAAAGCCUGCCUGUAGUGACACAUUUCUUCCUAUAAGACCAUGCCUACUCCAACAAGGCCACACCUCCUAAUGCUACUUCCUAAAUAUUCAACUAUGAAUCUAUUGGGGCCAUUCUUUUUUCUUUUUAAUUUCAGUAGGUAUAUAUAUUUUUAUUAGGUAGUUUCUUUAUUUACAUUUCCAAUGCUAUCCCAAAAGUCCCCCAUACCCGCCCCCCACUCCCCUACCCACCUACUCCCACUUUUUGGCCCUGGCAUUCCCCUGUACUGAGGUAUAUAAAGUUUGCACGACCAAUGGGCCUCUAUUUCCACUGAUGGCUGACUAGGCCAAAUUCUGAUACAUGUGCAGCUAGAGACACGAGUUCUGGGGGGUACUGGUUAGUUCAUAUUGUUGCUCCACAUAUAGGGUUGCAGAUCCCUUUAGCUCCUUGGGUACUUACUCUAGCUUCUCCAAUGGGGGCCCUGUGAUCCAUCCAAUAGCUGACUGUGAGCAUCCACUUCUGUGUUUGCUAGCCCCCAGCAUAGCCUCACAAGAGACAGCUAUCUCUGGGUCCUUUCAGCAAAAUCUUGCUAGUGUAUACAAUGGUGUCAGCGUUUGUAGGCUGAUUAUGGGAUGGAUCUCUGGGUAUGGCAGCCUCUAGAUGGUCCAUCCUUUCGUCUCAGCUCCAAACUUUGUCUCUGUAACUCCUUCCAUGGUGUUUUGUUCCCAAUUCUAAGAAGGGGCAGUGUCCACAUUUCGGUCUUCGUUCUCCUUGAGUUUCAUGUGUUUUGCAGAUUGUAUCUUGUAUCUUGGGUAUUCUAAGUUUCUGAGCUAAUAUCCACUUAUCAGUGAGUACAUAUGUGAGUUCUUUUGUGAUUGGAUUACCUCACUCAGGAUGAUGCCCUCCAGGUCUAUCCAUUUGCCUAGGAAUUUCAUAAAUUCAUUCUUUUUAAUAGCUGAGUAGUACACCAUUGUGUAAAAGUACCACAUUUUCUGUAUCCAUUCCUCUGUUGAGGGACAUCUGGGUUCUUUCCAGCUUCUGGCUAUUAUAAAUAAGGCUGCUAUGAACAUAGUGGAGCAUGUGUUUUUCUUACCAGUUGGAACAUCUUCGGGAUAUAUGCCCAGGAGAGGUAUUGCUGGAUCCUCCAGUGGUACUAUGUCCAAUUUUCUGAGGAACUGUCAGGCUGAUUUCCACAGUGGUUGUACAAGCUUGCAAUGCCACCAACAGUGGAGGCGUGUUCUUCUUUCUCCACAUCCUCGCUAGCAUCUGCUGUCACCUGAGUUUUUGAUCUUAGCCAUUCUGACUGGUGUGAGGUGAAAUCUCGGGGUUGCGUUGAUUUGCAUUUCCCUAAUGAUUAAGGAUGCUGAACAUUUUUUUAGGUGCUUCUCAGCCAUUUGUUAUUCCUCAGGUGAGAAUUCUUUGUUUAGCUCUGAGCCCCAUUUUUUAAUUAAUUUGAUUUUCUGGGGUCCAGCUUCUUGAGCUCUUUGUAUAUAUUGGAUAUUAGUCCCCUAUCAAAUUUAGGAUAGGUAACGAUCCUUUUCCAAUCUGUUGGUGGCCUUUUUUUCUUAUUCACAGUGUCUUUUGCCUUACAGAUGUUUUGCAAUUUUAUGAGGUCCCAUUUGUUGAUUCUUGAUCUUACAGCACAAGCCAUUGCUGUUCUAUUCAGGAAUUUUUCCCCUGUGCCCAUAUUUUCGAGGUUUUUCCCCACUUUCUCCUCUAUAAGUUUCACUCUCUCUGGUUUUAUGUGGAAUUCCUUGAUCCACUUAGAUUUGACCUUAGUACAAGGAGAUAGGAAUGGAUCAAUUCUCAUUCUUCUACAUGAUAACCGCCAGUUGUGCCAGGACCAUUAGUUGAAAAUGCUGUCUUUUUUCCACUGGGUGGUUUUAGCUCUAUGGGGACCAUUCUUAUUCAAACCACCAUGUUAUUUGUAGAACACUGAAAAAGUUGUCAAUACAUACACACACACACACACACACACACACACACACACACACACACAGACACACACAUAUAUAUAUGUUAUGAACUGCCACACAUAUGCAUUCAGUUAUUUUUCUCUUAUAAUAGGUUCUAGUAUGCUUAUGACAUGCACAAACAGUAAGUAUGCUUAUAAUAGUCUCACUUUUAAAAGUUUAUGAAUAAAUUCUUUGCUGAAAGCAGUGUGCAUAUACCUAUCUUUUACUAGUUAUAAAAUAAAUUUAAAUGAAACUAUAGAAGAGAAAAUGACAAAGGCUUGACUUACACACAAUUGAAACACCCUGGAUAAGAAAUUUUUCUUUUUAUAAAACAAAGAUCAUUUGUAUAUUGUUUCAUUAUCAUAAUUUAUUUCUAAUGAUUCUGCAACAUGAAAUUCUUCAUUUUGAUUAACUUCUUUUCAGGUGUCCUAUGACUUUUGCUUAAAGAAUAAUCUUACAUUUUUUUUAAAUCAAGUUUCUUCAUGGUUUUUUAUUACCAUUUAAUUUUAAGAUCAUAAGUGACAACUGCAGCAAGGUUGGAACAGGAACAAUUGCUUUCAGUUUAAUUUCUGGAAAAGAAAGUUCAAACCUUAAAGAUGGCAGAAGCUGAGGAGUUCUACAAGCCUUGCCUUACAUAACUGAGCUCUGCCUUCUGCUUUAACCCCAAAAGCACACAGUAAAUGCAGUGGCUUAGUAAUUACUACCACUACUACUACUAAUAAUACUAAUACUACUACUAAUACUAAUAAUACUCUAACAAAUUGUUUCAACUAAAAAUAAUUCAUGCAGUAAGUUUACAAGCAAAAUUGUCUGUGCUUGAGUUUGUAGUUAAGUGGCAUAUCUAAGAAGUAAUAAAGCAUACCACCCUGUAACUCUAUCAUAAUGCAUAUUCUGGUAAGUGUAAGUCAUAUUUAGUGGGCUCAGGAGGGCUUUAAUAACAAAUAUCUACCAUUGUUGCUGUAAACUGCACAUGGAAAUAAAAAGAGACAGUGUCUUGAUUGUCAUGCCUUAUCUGCUAGAAUCUUGCUUAUAUCAGCUUUACAUUUCAAUUGCACUCAUCACAUUUCUAUAAACAUUCUAUAUUAUCUAACAGUUAAGUCUAUGUCUUAUUCUUUGUGCGGUUCAGUAUUGAGGAGGUAGGACUGUGUAAGCCCCCUUUUCAUUGUUACUUUUUAGUCAAAUAAUUCUAUACUUAUUAAACAAUUAUGGUGAGAAUCCAGAUCUAUAUUCUAUAUAGGAUGUCAGUUGAUGGUAGCCUUUGAACAGAAUAAUACAAUGCAGUUUACCAAUGUGUAGUGUCAUACAAUAUUUUGAAUUAUAUAUUAAUUUUAAUAUCCCUAAUCACCAAGAGGAAAGUGAUUCCUGGUUCUGUUAAUAUAAAAUAUUUUGAGGUACCAUGACAUGAAAUGCAAACAUUCAAAAUUUGAAAUAAUGUCUUCUAAAGUUUAUAAUGCAAAAAUAAAUAUUUUAUUAGAUAAGCAUACUUUAAAAUAUCAAAAAUUUUAGCUGUAUAUUAAGUACUGUAUUAAUAAUCUUUUAAAUUCUUUUGUAUUAAAUUUUUAGUUACUGCUUGUUUUUUUGCAGUUAAUUUUAUUAAAUAAUAUCGUUGCUAUUAUUUGACUAAAGCUAACAACAUUCUGCUCAUAACUCUCAACAAGGAGUAUGUGCUGUAAUCGAUAUCAUAAUUUAUAAUCUAUUCUAGAUGAUUCUUUAGAGGAGGAAAACAUUGAGCAAGGAAGGUUAUCAGCAAAAAUAGAACACAGCAAGUAAUAUAAAAAUAGCAUUCUCCUCCCUGUCUCUUUCAGUCUGGGUAAAGCAUUCCCCCUAUGAUUUUAUACAAGCUCAAAAAGUGCUAUUAAAGACUCACUUUUUAUUGAGGUAACUCUGAGCUAUUCCAAAUAUAACCAUUACCAGUCUACAGUGAUAUGAUAUUUUGUUAAAACAGUGGUUGAAUUCUCAAACACUUAUUCUGUAUCACUGCUCCAAGCCUUAACUUGAGUAAGGCUUCUGUCUAAACUAAUACCAAUAGAGAGAAAACAAAGAAGC